This 145-nucleotide ribosomal RNA is filed under the name Erythranthe inflatula. RNAcentral's name for it is "5.8S ribosomal RNA". It matches the Rfam family "5.8S ribosomal RNA". Rfam says of the family: 5.8S ribosomal RNA (5.8S rRNA) is a component of the large subunit of the eukaryotic ribosome. Lineage: Eukaryota; Viridiplantae; Streptophyta; Magnoliopsida; Lamiales; Phrymaceae. The record is from RNAcentral.
AAACGACUCUCGGCAACGGAUAUCUCGGCUCUGCAUCGAUGAAGAACGUAGGAAAUGCGAUACUGGUGUGAAUUGCAGAAUCCCGUGAACCAUCGAUCUUUGAAGCAAGUUGCGCCGAAGCCACUAGGCCGAGGGCACGUCUGCC